GUUGAUUGGAAUGUUGUCUGGUACAAGUUCAUAAAUAAAUGAUUAUUGCUCAAAUUCCAUAAAGCUUUAUUAUUUUCUAGGGUUUCAUUUUUUUUGUACCCUUGAAACAAAGAAAGUAAUCAGAUUUUGAUGCUAGUCUUCUAUGUGACCUCGGACCAGGCUUCAUUUCAGUCAAC
MicroRNA precursor from Lupinus angustifolius (narrow-leaved blue lupine), 176 nucleotides. It matches the Rfam family "mir-166 microRNA precursor family". From Rfam's summary of the family: This family represents the plant microRNA (miRNA) precursor mir-166. The record is from Rfam. NCBI's taxonomy places the organism in Eukaryota, Viridiplantae, Streptophyta, Magnoliopsida, Fabales, Fabaceae.